UUCCUAAUUAUAUAGAGUUCAUCGUUUGGUCCCAGUUAGUCAAUCAAUAAACCCCGAACAAUAACUUACCGCAGCACAAUGUCCAUUAGCUCUUGCACAUCCCUUUGCCUGGUGGACUUCAAACUCUGAGUCAUGGUCAGCCUAGCAACCAUAACGAGUCUUCUUUUGAUCACAGGGUAUCAACAAACUUUUUUAGGAAACCUUGUCAUGAGGGAAGGGUCCUCCUGCGAUUUCAUAAAGAAUAGAGAUAGCCCAAUUUAUAAGGAAAAUUAGGCCAAAAAUUAGGCAAACACGAUUUAUUAAGAGACAAUCAUGUAAAAAAACCACAAAGAGAGGAAAAGGAAACUAGAACAACAAUGCCGACAUUGUCGAAGCAUGACCUCCACCGCCAACAUGCCCUCAACCUGAAGAGAAGCCUGUGGGUUCUCCGGAGAUGCCCUCAAGAAGGAAACGAUACCCAUGGGCACCGUUGCCAUUGAAAUCAUCCCUUGUCAAAGUCUUAAACAUUUUUGCCUGGAGCCACCGAAAACCUCCACCCCCUCGCCUAACCUUGAGAAAAGGUCAUCCAUGAUAUAAACCACCAUGACAAGUCUAAGAACCGACCAACCUUGUUCUAGUGGAGAGGAGGAACCCUUCAACAACUGCUCGAAAAGAGAGAGCACCAACGUGUCAUUAUCGCUAGUACCCAUCGAGCCCAUUGAGAACAAUGUUUUUGUCCAGGGCCCUACGCCCCUCUACUUGCUCGAGUCCAGGGAAGGGGACUAGCCGUUGCCCGCACCGCACCUGCAAUAGCAGACCGCCCACGCCGCACACAUCGCCCCUCGAGGCGCCGAAUGGUCCACCAGUUGCUACCGCGGGAUUCCCUCACCGCCAGAGGCUAGACAAGAGGAGCAAGUCCCGUUGUCAUCAGCUCCGCCCGGGUUUCACCCGGUUGAGUGACGGCGAGCGAAGAGGCGAGGUAGAGGGGCGGGGAGGGAGGACAGAGCCGCCGCCACCCGUGUCGUCUAGGGAAGGGAGUGACGCCGACAUUUAAGAUCCAAGGUAUCAAAUCACAAAUACACAUUCCCCCAAAAAAUUAACAUAAGCAAUCCCCAAAAAUACAGGGGGUGUUUGGUUUCAGGGACUUUUUUAGGUUGGGACUAAAAAAAGUCCCUAAAAGUCUCUAGCAAACCAAACAAGGGGAACUUUUUUAGAACAUUUUACUAAAAAUCCUUAAAAGCACCUCCUUAAACGUCUUAUUCAAAAAGUCCUAGGACUGGAAAAAAGUCCUGUGACUAGAAAACCAAACACCACCACAAUCACACAACACACGCACGCCCCUCCCACUCUCGGAAUCCCCCCCCACUUUCACCUGUUCCUCCCACAGCCAGCUCCAUCCCUUCCCUCCCACACGAGCGAGACGCGAGACAUGGCUAGGGUUUUCGUCAGCGCUGCCGCCCUCGCCGUCGCCGCCGGCCGCGCCGUCGCCCGCACGGCCUCUCGAGCGGGCAAAGGGCCUCUUCUCAUGGGCGGCGGCAUCAUCACUGCCUACGUGUACCGCGAGCACCUCCGCCGCCUGGCCCGCCGUCUCUUCGCCUCUACUCGCGGGCCACAUGGAGCUUGGUGGUGAGUCGUCCUUCGAUUUCUGUCCUUCUGGUUCGGUUGCGAUAGCUUCUGCUGACACGGAUCUACAGGACCAAGGCGAGCCGCGCGGACAACAAGGGGGCGCGGAAGGUCCAGCAGGCGGCGCACCGCCGCUUCUACACAAAGAAGUUCGGGCCGGCCCCCCGCUGAAUAUCAGGUUCGAUUUGUUUCCCGAUCGUGUGUUCCGGGCUGGUGCGGCUUGGGGUCUAGACGUGAUCAAUUGAUUGAGUGGGUAUGGAUGUUGGAGGUGAUUUGCACGUGCGUGUGGUUUAGAUUCGAGACAGCAACGUUUUAGGACUUUUGCCAAAUUCGGCUGUAGUCAAACCAAUAAGGAAUGAAUUCUGGUCGGCCUGCCCACUGCAAUAGGCAACAGCUUACCAACCUUCCUAUAUGUCAAUCUCACACCUUUUUUUAACCCAAAAUGGAUUUUGUGAAAUGUGUAGUCAAGUAUGCAAUUCAAUCGACCGGUACAUUAGAUUUUAGAUUUUCGUGAUUUGGUCGUAUAGUGCAUAAAGCCUUGACAAGAGAUGGUGUAUUGCUGUGCAUCUCUGCUUGCUUUCACUUGAAACUGCAGGAUUUUGUGUGGGCAGCAUGGUGUUGUUCUGCCUACUGUUGCUGAGAGCGGUCCUGCAUAAUUGAUAUCAUGGAGGAUGGGACAUGUCUUGCUUUAAGAUGUUCUGAUGCAGUGCAAAACCUGCCCUCCAUGUACAACUUAAUGUGUUACCUUUUCUUGAGUACAAGCUCUACUGUUUACAUAAUGCAUUCUUGUAUUUAGGAACGGAGAGAGUAUGAAUACAUGUUUUCACAAUUUUCUCAAACUUGGGUAUGGAUUUAUCUAAAGUUUCAGUUAUGGGCUAUAUUUGACAUGAGAUCAGAGCUUGCAUUCUUCUUUGUCGUGACAGCAAGCGUACAGUUUUGAGAUCUUGACUGUACAAUAGUGAUACGAAGUAGGAUAUUUUCUGUUCACCAGGUGGCCUGUGGUGGCUGAUGGUGGUGAUAAAGAUGGUUUGUGAAUCUAUUAGUACUGUCGAAUCUUCUUGUUUGAGACGGCUUGUAGUCAAAUCCUGCUUUUGAGUUACGGUGCAAUCAGAUGCAGCGUAAUUGGGUAGCGGGCCAGUGUAAUUUCGUUUGCUUGUGCUGGGCCUGGGCGUGACGCUCCUGGCCUGGAGCCUCCUUUGGUCUGCAAUAUCUUCUCUGUUCCUUUUCCUAGACCAGUAAAUGCAUCUUCUGAAAGUGGGUGGCAUCAAGCUUCUAGUCACUAUUUGCUUCGCUAACCUUGCCAUUCAACUCCGGUCGAUCACAACUCCCUGUCAUGCUCAAACUAUUACUGUGAUUGGUCAUGUUCAUGGAUAUGGUGUCAUAUAAUCACGCAUAUCUAAUAGGCUCAGUCCUAGUACUAACUACUAAGUAUAUAUGGUGUCAUAUAGUCACGCAUGUCUUAGACGACCUGUGAGCGCUUCCUCAAAUAUCUGUGGUGGGGUUAUUAAAUAGCUGUUCUUCAAAUAUCUGUGGUGGGGUUAUUAAAUAUUUCCAGUUAGUCUCGCUCAUGUUUAUUUUUCUGACAGUCGACUCAUUAAAUUCUUUGGUCCAUAUCCAACCGGUGAGACCCAUCAAAAUCAAUACGACAGUAAAUUCUUUAACAACUGUGAAGGCUGCACCAGCAAAUGAGAUCAAGUCUUUAGACCGUGAAUUCUCUGUUGGUCGGUCUGCCUGUAAAUACACCAGACCUGAAAGAUUUAGUGGGGAAAUCUAUGAGAUCAGGUUAAGUUACCAUUACAUCUAAAAAAUGAACAUGUAAAUACAACAGAUAAUUUUUUUUAAUUCAGUCUCACCGACAUAAAAACAACUUCAAUAAUUAACUAACCUGUGAAUCCAUCCAUUGGUCUCUCUGAAGUCUCUCUGAAAUCUGAACCAUUAGCCUUCAUCAUUGCAAUCAGUUGAAGGGUUCCUCCCUUUUGUUUGCUGUAUCUUGUUGCAUCAUACAAUUUGAUACUUCUUCUAUUUCUGAACAUACUUGUGAUAUUUGGUGAAAAGCAGCUACAUGUGAUAUUUGGUGAAAAGACAAGCCAGUGAUGAAUCAACCUAAUCUGUAUUUGUACCAAGUUUUAAAUUGAUGUGAAUCUUUUUCUAUAUGAAUAAGGCCUCCUUUGGUUCAUAGGAUAGGAAUAUUAUAGGAAUUAACCAUAGGAAGUGAGAUGACAUGUAUCUCAAUUCCUAUAGGGAAAGAGAUGUCACUUGAUCCAUAGGAUAGGAACUUUUCCAUUACAUCUAGGCUAUUUUUUUUCUUUGAAAUGUGAUGGAUUGGUUCCUAUCCUACAUAGGAAUAUGAAUUCAUUAGUACAAGCCAAAGAGCUCCAAAAUUAUUUUUCCUACAAAAUUCCUCUAAACUAAAUGUUUUCACAAUUUUUCUCAAACUUUGGUAAGGAUUGUUUGUGACGUUUCAUUUAUGGGCUAUAUUUUGCAUUCUUGUGAUGGCAUCAAGAUCUAUGUAUGAUAUUUGCUGAGUUGGAGAAAAAAAGAAGAGAGAACGCUUCUCAAUGUGCGACACAGAAUGUACUGUACUUGCCGCAUACGUUUCUGGUUUACAUAUGUUGCAGAUGAACUUGAUCUCAGUCCCUAAACAUUUGCAUAUGUUUCUGAUUUGUGCAAUGUACAAUACAAAGUUACUGAACAACUCGACGCUGUAAAUUCUUUGCUAUGUUUUUCUCCUCUGUUCAUUGUCCAAAGUUACUGAACAACUUGUUCUUAUAAAUUCUCUGCAGGCUACCGGAGAAGGGCAUAUGCAAAUGGACAUAGUAGCGGACAAAUGGGUGGUUACAAGUUGAGAUAAAUUUUGGGUUAAAAAACUUGUGGGUUUACUCGAAUCCCUGCUAUCAUCUGAUUAUCACUGAAUCUGAGACUUACGCCGUCGUCUAUUGCUGUUGAAUCAGUGGACAAAUGUGGUGACUUUGAUGACGCUGGGAUGGAAAUUUUUGCAAUAGUAAUCGAAUUAUGCCGUCAUCUAUUGCUGUUGAAAUAUGCUGUCAAAAGUUGUUUGGAUGUCAUUUGGCAUUGACCUCUUUUUUGAGCUAGGGUAUAAUCAGUUGCAGUGUGAUUGGGCAGUGGGCUAGUGCUAUUUGGUUUGCGUUUGCUGGGCGUGACAGCUCCUGGCCUAGAGCCUCGUGAUGCAUACAGGACCGUGUUCGGUUACCCUCCAGUGGUAGCCCGGCCAGGACCUGUCACGGCAAGUGAUUGGCUUGGAGGCGCUAGGUCCUAAGGUCCUGUACAAUGCAAGGUGCUUGGAGUAGGUGCUUAGAGAAAUAAAUCAGUUUUUCUUUAAGCAUCAGUGCUUAUUUGUAGAGGGUAGACGCUUAAUUAAGCAUUUGUUCUGUAGAAUAAGCAUCUGUGUUUAAAAAAAGUUGGUUUAUUUUACUAAGCAUCUCUCAUUGUACAAGGCCUAAUUCGGCUUAGCUAGCAGCGACAUCACAGUUGGCGUACUUGCUAGUUGAGCAGCUAUGUCACCCUUCCUGACAUGGGACAAUUGUUUGAUGGAGAUCUUCCCCCGACGGAUAUGGUAACCGUCACAGAGUUAAAGAAGACGACGCCGGUCAAAAUUAACACUAGAUCAUAGAUUUGAUCCGCAUCAAACUGAGAAACGUUGUCAGGUAGUUCAAAAACAGAGAGAGAACGUCGUCGUCAUGCCAUAUAAGACCCAAUAAUAAAAGGGGAAUUUUUGUUUAUGCCACUCUUAACUUCCAACCAUUUUGCAUCAUAAUUACCACUGUAGUUUAGCUGGAAGUAAGUUGCCUGAAAAUUGAAUUUGGCUAUGGCGGCCGAUGCAAGAGACUGCACAGGAGAACCACCGACAAACAAUCUAACGACGAACGACCAAGUCGACAUAUGGCUCACGAUCGCCAUAAUUUAUGGAGGGCACUCGAUAACCGACCGUGUUGCCUUCAAAUAUUGAGGCUGGGAGGGCCAAUACGACACUUGCUCCAACCAAAACAACUAGCACGGUAGGUAAGUUUCAAGUUCUUCCUCCCGGCGUCCCACAUGGGAUUUGAAGUAGCCCAACCUUCCAAGCACCACCGGCGACGGGCAUCCAACCAGUAAUGCCACUCCAUCGGGUUGCCAUGGCCGGCCCGUUGCAUGGCCGCCACGCGCGACAUCAUCUCAUGGCUUGCGUAUGAGCUGGUUGAGAGGAGUUGUGCGAGCAACCGUGAUAGUCUGAGCAGUCGAGAAGCGCACGAGCAGCCCACGUCAACAUUUCUCACUGGGGAACAUGCCCUUUGACUGCUCGUCGUUUCCAGCCUACCCAAGUGCCUCCUUAAUGGCACUCAUAGCGGUGUAUAAGGACACCGCCCUCCCCUAUCUUGCUCCGAUUCUCUUUGUGGCACCGCCCAUUCUCAUCUCGUCUGCUUCCAACCCCCGAACAUCGUCUUCGAUGGCACAUCCGGAGAGUUGCCCCUCGUCUUUAGUUUUCGGGAUGAGGAAGAGGAAGGCAGCACAUGAACCCUCUAUCCCCCCUUUGGGAGCAGAUGGACCUUUCCUGGAGGAGGUUCCGCAAAUGGACGCACAAAUAGAGCUAGAUUUGGGUCCCGUGCCUGCAGUUGCAGACGAAAGGCCGGCCUGGGCCACCACCGCCAAGGUGCAUUUCCAAGCCAUCAAGGUCCAUUCCCGCAUUCUACGUAGGUGGUGAGGGUGGCAGUGGUCAUGGAGGUGGUCAUGGCCGCAACUAGGCAGUCCAUUUAAGAGUGGCACAAAUUGAAUGGUCAGAAUGUAGAUUUUCCAUAGUAAAAAGGAAGACCGGGUAUGAAAUGGAAAUCAAACAAAAAAGAUUGCUCCACGGAGCAUGUCAACUAUGUGUUCGCCAUAUAGCAUGAUAUUUAGAGUUGAUCACUUUCAAAUGCAUGGCUAGAUGAGAGCAGAUCUCGACAGAGCUGGAGUAACUUCUAUGACUUAAGGAAUACAAGUAAUUGAACUACCAAAUAACCAGGUGGGAAAUUGUACAGUGUGAUCAUAGCAUGUGUACCUUUUUGUCGGCACUUCUCCAUGUACAAAUUGACGCGGGGCUACUCGGCAAAAUUUUUCAUCUUUAUAGAUCCAUCACAAAUAUUGGGUGACCGACGGGCCAAUGAGGAGCUCUACCGCUGCACAAAAGCUCAACAUGCCAACGAACGGAAGCGAAGCUACACCCCAUCCUUUAUUUACCUUCAAAGGGAUAACAAAUGAGGACAAAGAGAGAGAACAAACCUAGAUGAACUAGAAUUCUAUUAAUCGGUUCCCCUUAAUCGCUAGUUGGAUACGUUCCUAAUUUGAUAAGAUUGUCAUGACUGUUUAGUGGACCAACCUUUCGAAAUAAAAGGGAUGGAGGAAAGACGAAAGGAUAACAUGACAAGGCACACAUAAUACAUUUUCAGGUUAAUAACUCAUUGACAGAGAUAAAAUGCACGCAACAAUGCUUAUCGCGCUGAGGUCAUAUGAACUCGCUGUGGCUACACCAAUGAUUUCUUUCAUACCUACAAACCCACUACAUAUACAUUAAUAAUUAGAAUUCCAACUCCUAAGUAUCCUGAAUGAGAAAUUUCCCGUUUAAGAUUAUUGAUCCAUUGUGCCUGGUUUGGCACCUUUUUUUCAGGAAUAUGUAAAGCUUUUGUAUCAUUUCAUUGAUUUUUCUUUUGUGGGUAUAUCAUUCCAUUGAUAUGGGAAGAAGUUCAGCAGUUUACAUGAUGUAACUCGACUUUCUAAUUUUUACCCACCUGCGCGGUCCUCACAAAUGGUGCUCGCAUGCAUGUCAGUUCUGGUUCGUGAUUAGGUGCCAUGGUGCAAAGGUACCUUGUUUGGUGCUACGUGAUAUGUGACCUGGAGCAACACAACUUCGUUUGCCCGAACAAGCUAGCAACCGAGCCACCAAUGAGCUGCCGUGAUUUCUCCGGCAAUUGCCACCGGCCACGCUGCUCUAAUCCACAUAUAAGGGUCUAGUAAGAAUACCAUUUCUCAGUGGCGCAUAACCGACGGUGCUGCAACUGCAAGUGCACCACACCGGCUACCGAUGCUACGACCAGUGAUGCGACAUGCUGCAAGUCAGAGCUGCCAGUGCUGCAAGUGUACCAUGUCGUCCAUCGAUGCUGCGAUGGUUAUGCAACACACUGCAAGGGCCGAGCAGGGAGAUGCCACCGAUGGUGCAACAGAGAAACGUGGUGAUGCAAGUGGAAUGCGCCGAUGCUAAGCUUCUAGAGCAUGAUGAGUGCUGCUGCGAGAAGAUGGUUGGUGCUGCUGCAAGGUACGGCAUCGGUGUGAGCCAAGCUAGCGGGGGUGUGCAGAUGUUGCGAGCGGGAGAAGCAGUCCUGCCAGUGUGGUGAGAGAGGACGACACAGAGCAGGAGGUGCGGGCGAGAAGGCACAAGGGGUCAGCGUCUCCCAAAAAACAUAUACCGGAUGUUUUUGUCUCGACAAACAACAUAUCAUGCAUACUAUAACUAUUUUUGUCUACACACCAUGAACCGGGGUACGAAUUUACAACUGGGGCUCUAGCGCCCCAGGAAAGAGUCUGACUGUAUGGUGCACAUCCCCGUUUUGAAAAAAGAAACAUGUUUCUGGAACAGCUCACAGUUACAAUAUGUAUUUAUCACUGCACCAAAAUUAAUAUAUAAAUUAUACUUAUACUUAUAUAUAUGUAGAUUGGAAGAAGGCAAGUAUAGUGUUGGAGCGAAAAUGAGCGGAAUGAAUAACACAACAACAACAAAAAAGAACUAUUCACAGCUAGAUUUGCUUUCAUUUAUCUGAUUAGAUAUGGGAUUAAACUUCUAUAACAUUACAGGUUCAUGUUGUAUCGAAGUCAGCAAAUUCUGUCCAGUUUUUUAAAACUUGUGUUGUAUUGGUGCACCAGGGUUGGGUGGCUUGGAAUCGACGCAGACAAGCAUGUAGAGAUAACCAACAAACAGUUAAACACCAUGGCGACAGAUUAAAAUCGAACAAACUAGCAAGCAAAAUCUACAAUCGGACAAGAAUACAGCCAGGAACACGUGAACAAGCCGUGUUUAUGCGUGACUAUGAAAUGGAGUAGCCUGUUCAUAAGAAACAGAGCGGAGGAAAUCUCUGAGAAUCGCCACAUAAAACAGAGGCAGUAGUGACAAACCUUUAUUUAUGCACCAAAAAGGGAACGACUGAUCCUCGAGCAAUUGCCGCGCCCCCUCCCGGGCCGAGAGAGAUCUGCAGGAUUGAAAGAGGAAUUAGGAACAGAAAGAACGUGAAGAUUAGCACGUCGUAACCAUGCAAACACUUCCGGUGAGAAGUGGAUCUGCCCGAGGGAAGAUUACAGGGCAUCACAGCGGAUUCAUCACGGCGGGGUCGUGGCUCCUACCUGCUUGAGAAGAUCACGCGGAAAUAGUCUAGGGUUCGUUCGUUCAUGAGAUCCGCAUAGGACCUGGAUGGAGCGAGAGGCAGAAGAUAAGGGAAGGGGGGAAAGAGAAACGAGGCAUUAAAAAACUGCCUGUACGUGAGCAGAACACGGCUCCAGCCGAAACCAGCGGCUGCAGAUGGGUCCGGCCCCUUCGCUGGCUCAUGUUGUCAGUGGCCACAGGGUACGUGCGUCGGUUGGUUCGUCUCGAGGCUUCGUUCCGACCGAGGAGCGAUCUGAGAUCUGACCCCGGAU
Molecule: long non-coding RNA, 9255 nt
Filed under: Triticum aestivum (bread wheat)
Lineage: Eukaryota; Viridiplantae; Streptophyta; Magnoliopsida; Poales; Poaceae
Description: long non-coding RNA (TAES_LNC019720)
Source: RNAcentral